AUUGAACGCUGGCGGCAGGCCUAACACAUGCAAGUCGAGCGGAUGAAGGGAGCUUGCUCCUGGCUUCAGCGGCGGACGGGCGAGUAAUGCCUAGGAAUCUGCCUGGUAGUGGGGGAUAACGUCCGGACACGGGCGCUAAUACCGCAUACGUCCAGAGGGAGAACGUGGGGGAUCUUCGGACCUCACGCUAUCAGCUGAGCCUAGGUCGGAUUAGCUAGUUGGUGGGGUAAAGGCCUACCAAGGCGACGAUCCGUAACUGGGCUGAGAGGAUGAUCAGUCACACUGGAACUGAGACACGGUCCAGACUCCUACGGGAGGCAGCAGUGGGGAAUAUUGGACAAUGGGCGAAAGCCUGAUCCAGCCAUGCCGCGUGUGUGAAGAAGGUCUUCGGAUUGUAAAGCACUUUAAGUUGGGAGGAAGGGCAGUAAGUUAAUACCUUGCUGUUUUGACGUUACCAACAGAAUAAGCACCGGCUAACUUCGUG
This 484-nucleotide ribosomal RNA is filed under the name uncultured bacterium. Its description in RNAcentral is "partial 16S ribosomal RNA". It matches the Rfam family "Bacterial small subunit ribosomal RNA", at positions 30 to 507 of the family's 1533-position model. The record is from RNAcentral.